Molecule: ribosomal RNA, 274 nt
Filed under: uncultured bacterium
Lineage: Bacteria
Description: partial 16S ribosomal RNA
Rfam family: Bacterial small subunit ribosomal RNA
Source: RNAcentral
AUACGAAAGGUGCAAGCGUUGUUCGGAUUUACUGGGCGUAAAGAGAUCGUAGGUGGUUUGUUAAGUUGGAUGUGAAAUCCCGGGGCUCAACCUCGGAACUGCAUCCAAAACUGGCAGACUUGAGUUCGGGAGGGGUAAGCGGAAUUCCGUGUGUAGCAGUGAAAUGCGUAGAUAUACGGAGGAACACCUGAGGCGAAGGCGGCUUACUGGACCGAUACUGACACUGAGGAUCGAAAGCGUGGGUAGCAAACAGGAUUAGAAACCCCGGUAGUCC